GAAGGUAUAGCUCAGUAGUAGAGCACAGGCUUAGCAUACACAAGGUCCUGGAGUCGAUCCCUAGUACCUUCA
This 72-nucleotide transfer RNA is filed under the name Camelus bactrianus (Bactrian camel). It matches the Rfam family "tRNA". Rfam says of the family: Transfer RNA (tRNA) molecules are approximately 80 nucleotides in length. Their secondary structure includes four short double-helical elements and three loops (D, anti-codon, and T loops). Further hydrogen bonds mediate the characteristic L-shaped molecular structure. tRNAs have two regions of fundamental functional importance: the anti-codon, which is responsible for specific mRNA codon recognition, and the 3' end, to which the tRNAs corresponding amino acid is attached (by aminoacyl-tRNA synthetases). tRNAs cope with the degeneracy of the genetic code in two manners: having more than one tRNA (with a specific anti-codon) for a particular amino acid; and 'wobble' base-pairing, i.e. permitting non-standard base-pairing at the 3rd anti-codon position. The record is from Rfam by way of RNAcentral. Lineage: Eukaryota; Metazoa; Chordata; Mammalia; Artiodactyla; Camelidae. RNAcentral also lists the same sequence under 2 other names.